UGGUGGAGUGAUUUGUCUGGUUAAUUCCGAUAACGAACGAGACCUUAACCUGCUAAAUAGACCAGCCGGCUUUGGCUGGCUGCUGUCUUCUUAGAGGGACUAUCAGCGUUUAGCUGAUGGAAGUUUGAGGCAAUAACA
RNAcentral lists this ribosomal RNA (138 nucleotides) under uncultured eukaryote. Its description in RNAcentral is "partial 18S ribosomal RNA". It matches the Rfam family "Eukaryotic small subunit ribosomal RNA", at positions 1299 to 1458 of the family's 1831-position model. The record is from RNAcentral.